This 359-nucleotide small RNA is filed under the name Arabidopsis thaliana (thale cress). RNAcentral describes it as "ATSL207410". Lineage: Eukaryota; Viridiplantae; Streptophyta; Magnoliopsida; Brassicales; Brassicaceae. The record is from RNAcentral.
UAUGAAUAAACAAAUAAUUCAACCAACAAAACCAAGAAUGACUAACAAUCCUAACACAACCCUAACCUGUUCCAAUAACCAAAACAUAAAAGUAAACCAAACGAGUUCCUAGAUCAUCCUCUCUUCCUUGCCAUGAUACCACGAUCACACUUUAUCUUUACCUGCAUCAACAAUACAAUGAGAUGCGUAAGUAUUAUCAUAAAUAUUUAGUGAGGCGAUCCUCCCAUCUACGAGCUAUACACACAAGCAAAUAAAACGGUAUAAUCACAAAUACAACACAAACAAACCAAUCAUCGAACAAUUCACUCAAAACACAUUUACCACACCGACAUAUCAUCACACAAAACAAAACAUACAAC